GACAGAGGGUGCAAACGUUGUUCGGAUUUACUGGGCGUAAAGCGCGUGUAGGCGGCCUUGCAAGUCGGAUGUGAAAGCCCACGGCUCAACCGCGGAAGUGCAUCCGAAACUGCAUAGCUUGAGUCUCGGAGAGGAAGGUGGAAUGCUUGGUGUAGAGGUGAAAUUCGUAGAUAUCAAGCAGAACACCUGCGGCGAAGGCGGCCUUCUGGACGAUGACUGACGCUGAGACGCGAAAGCGUGGGGAGCAAACAGG
This 253-nucleotide ribosomal RNA is filed under the name uncultured bacterium. RNAcentral's name for it is "partial 16S ribosomal RNA". It matches the Rfam family "Bacterial small subunit ribosomal RNA", at positions 524 to 776 of the family's 1533-position model. The record is from RNAcentral.